Molecule: long non-coding RNA, 200 nt
Organism: Oryza brachyantha (malo sina)
Lineage: Eukaryota; Viridiplantae; Streptophyta; Magnoliopsida; Poales; Poaceae
Exons: 4
Source: RefSeq, a predicted model, not a curated record
CAAAGGAACAAGCAAUGGGAAUAGUGAACCACCUAUGGCAACAUCUCAAAGAACUUUUGAUGAUGGUAUUGAAGAGGGAGUAGUACGGACUAAUAGAAAGAGGGUUCAAUGCAGUACACCUGAUCAAGACGACUCAAUGAGUAAUCAAAGAAUUAUAUCAAUGAACAAAAGAAGAUGUGAGGAACAGCGAAAUAUGCAAC